This 447-nucleotide ribosomal RNA is filed under the name uncultured bacterium. RNAcentral's name for it is "bacterial SSU rRNA". It matches the Rfam family "Bacterial small subunit ribosomal RNA", at positions 28 to 458 of the family's 1533-position model. The record is from RNAcentral.
GAUGAACGCUGGCGGCGUGCUUAACACAUGCAAGUCGAACGGGAAUUACUUUAUUGAAACUUCGGUCGAUUUAAUUUAAUUCUAGUGGCGGACGGGUGAGUAACGCGUGGGUAACCUGCCUUAUACAGGGGGAUAACAGUCAGAAAUGGCUGCUAAUACCGCAUAAGCGCACAGAGCUGCAUGGCUCAGUGUGAAAAACUCCGGUGGUAUAAGAUGGACCCGCGUUGGAUUAGCUUGUUGGUGAGGUAACGGCCCACCAAGGCGACGAUCCAUAGCCGGCCUGAGAGGGUGAACGGCCACAUUGGGACUGAGACACGGCCCAGACUCCUACGGGAGGCAGCAGUGGGGAAUAUUGCACAAUGGGGGAAACCCUGAUGCAGCGACGCCGCGUGAAGGAAGAAGUAUCUCGGUAUGUAAACUUCUAUCAGCAGGGAAGAUAGUGACGGU